AUACGUAGGUGACAAGCGUUAUCCGGAUUUACUGGGCGUAAAGGGCGCGUAGGCGGACUGGCAAGUCAGAUGUGAAAUUCCUGAGCUCAACUCGGGCGCUGCUUCUGAAACUGCAGGUCUUGAGUGCUGGAGGGGAGAGCGGAAUUCCUAGUGGAGCGGUAAAAUGCGUAGAUAUUAGGAAGAACACCGGUGGCGAAGGCGGCUAUCUGGGCAGUAACUGGAGCUGAGGCGCGAAAGCAUGGGGAGAAAACAGGAUUAGAUACCCUGGUAGUCCACGCCGUAAACGAUGAAUUCUAGGUGUAGGGAGGAUCGAGUCCCUCUGUGCCGCAGUUAACACAAUAAGUACUCCGCCUGGGGAGUACGGCCGCAAGGUUGAAACUUAAAGGAAUUGACGGGG
RNAcentral lists this ribosomal RNA (397 nucleotides) under uncultured bacterium. RNAcentral's name for it is "partial 16S ribosomal RNA". It matches the Rfam family "Bacterial small subunit ribosomal RNA", at positions 523 to 918 of the family's 1533-position model. The record is from RNAcentral.